GUGGGGAAUAUUGCACAAUGGGCGAAAGCCUGAUGCAGCGACGCCGCGUGCGGGAUGAAGGCCUUCGGGUUGUAAACCGCUUUUGAUUGGGAGCAAGCGAGAGUGAGUGUACCUUUCGAAUAAGCACCGGCUAACUACGUGCCAGCAGCCGCGGUAAUACGUAGGGUGCAAGCGUUAUCCGGAAUUAUUGGGCGUAAAGAGCUCGUAGGCGGUUUGUCGCGUCUGGUGUGAAAGUCCAUCGCUUAACGGUGGAUCUGCGCCGGGUACGGGCAGGCUAGAGUGCGACAGGGGAGACUGGAAUUCCCGGUGUAACGGUGGAAUGUGUAGAUAUCGGGAAGAACACCAAUGGCGAAGGCAGGUCUCUGGGUCGUCACUGACGCUGAGGAGCGAAAGCGUGGGGAGCGAACAGGAUUAGAUACCCCGGUAGUCC
This 430-nucleotide ribosomal RNA is filed under the name uncultured bacterium. Its description in RNAcentral is "bacterial SSU rRNA". It matches the Rfam family "Bacterial small subunit ribosomal RNA", at positions 354 to 796 of the family's 1533-position model. The record is from RNAcentral.